Molecule: ribosomal RNA, 253 nt
Filed under: uncultured bacterium
Lineage: Bacteria
Description: partial 16S ribosomal RNA
Rfam family: Bacterial small subunit ribosomal RNA
Source: RNAcentral
UACGUCGGGUGCAAGCGUUAAUCGGAAUUACUGGGCGUAACGCGUGCGCAGGCGGUUGUGCAAGACAGAUGUGAAAUCCCCGGGCUUAACCUGGGAAUUGCAUUUGUGACUGCACGGCUAGAGUGUGUCAGAGGGGGGUAGAAUUCCACGUGUAGCAGUGAAAUGCGUAGAUAUGUGGAGGAAUACCGAUGGCGAAGGCAGCCCCGUGGGAUAACACUGACGCUCAUGCACGAAAGCGUGGGGAGCAAACAGG